CCUACGGGUGGCAGCAGUGAGGCAUAUUGGUCAAUGGGCGGGAGCCUGCACCAGCCAAGCCGCGUGAGGGAAGAAGGUACAGCGUAUCGUAAACCUCUUUUGUCAGGGAACAAAGGCGGGGACUAGUCCCCGGAUGAGGGUACCUGAAGAAAAAGCAUCGGCUCACUCCGUGCCAGCAGCCGCGGUACUACGGGGGAUUCGAGCGUUAUCCGGAUUUAUUGGGGUUAACGGGUGCGCGGGCGGCCUGUUAAGUCAGCAGUAAAAGCCCGGGGCUCAACCCCGGCGAGCCGUUGAAACUGGGUGGCUGGAGUUGGAGAGAAGUACGCGGAAUGCGCGGUGUAGCGGUGAAAUGCGUAGAGAUCGCGCAGAACCCCGAUGGCGAAGGCAGCGUACCGGCUCCACACUGACGCUGAGGCACGAAAGCGUGGGUAGCGAACAGGAUUAGAUACCCGUGUAGUC
This 459-nucleotide ribosomal RNA is filed under the name uncultured bacterium. RNAcentral's name for it is "partial 16S ribosomal RNA". It matches the Rfam family "Bacterial small subunit ribosomal RNA", at positions 338 to 795 of the family's 1533-position model. The record is from RNAcentral.